GGUUAAGCGACUAAGCGUACACGGUGGAUGCCUAGGCAAUCAGAGGCGAUGAAGGACGUGCUAAUCUGCGAUAAGCGUCGGUAAGGUGAUAUGAACCGUUACAACCGACGAUUUCCGAAUGGGGAAACCCAGUGCAAUUCGUUGCACUAUCGUUUGAUGAAUACAUAGUCAAACGAAGCGAACCGGGGGAACUGAAACAUCUCAGUACCCCGAGGAAAAGAAAUCAACCGAGAUUCCCCUAGUAGCGGCGAGCGAACGGGGAGCAGCCCAGAGUCUUAAUCAGCAUUAGCAUCAGGAGAACGGUCUGGAAAGUCCGGCAGUAAAGGGUGAUAGCCCCGUAUCCGAAGGUGUUAGUGUUGUGAACUCGACGAGUAGGGCGGGACACGUGUUAUCCUGUCUGAAUAUGGGGGGACCAUCCUCCAAGGCUAAAUACUCCUGAUUGACCGAUAGUGAACCAGUACCGUGAGGGAAAGGCGAAAAGAACCCCGGCGAGGGGAGUGAAAUAGAACCUGAAACCGUGUACGUACAAGCAGUGGGAGCCCCAUCACUCAAGUGCCUCGGCAAUUGAGUGAUGGUGUAAAACCAUCACAAUAACAGCGCAGGAUUUGCCAACAAGAUUGGCUGAUUUUUUCAAGCCGCAGCGCAGUGGACAUCGAAGUCCAUGAGCAGCGGAAGUUAAAAAAUCGGGCAAGAUUGGCCGCAAAGCCAAGCGGGACAUUUGAGGAUGGGGUGACUGCGUACCUUUUGUAUAAUGGGUCAGCGACUUAUAUUCUGUAGCAAGGUUAACCGUAUAGGGGAGCCGUAGGGAAACCGAGUCUUAACUGGGCGAAUAAGUUGCAGGGUAUAGACCCGAAACCCGGUGAUCUAGCCAUGGGCAGGUUGAAGGUUGGGUAACACUAACUGGAGGACCGAACCGACUAAUGUUGAAAAAUUAGCGGAUGACUUGUGGCUGGGGGUGAAAGGCCAAUCAAACCGGGAGAUAGCUGGUUCUCCCCGAAAGCUAUUUAGGUAGCGCCUUGUGAACUCAUCUUCGGGGGUAGAGCACUGUUUCGACUAGGGGGUCAUCCCGACUUACCAACUCGAUGCAAACUACGAAUACCGAAGAAUGUUAUCACGGGAGACACACGGCGGGUGCUAACGUUCGUCGUGAAGAGGGAAA
This 1159-nucleotide ribosomal RNA is filed under the name Providencia rettgeri. RNAcentral's name for it is "partial 23S ribosomal RNA". It matches the Rfam family "Bacterial large subunit ribosomal RNA", at positions 1 to 1022 of the family's 2925-position model. Lineage: Bacteria; Pseudomonadati; Pseudomonadota; Gammaproteobacteria; Enterobacterales; Morganellaceae. The record is from RNAcentral.